This 305-nucleotide ribosomal RNA is filed under the name uncultured bacterium. RNAcentral describes it as "bacterial SSU rRNA". It matches the Rfam family "Bacterial small subunit ribosomal RNA", at positions 333 to 657 of the family's 1533-position model. The record is from RNAcentral.
GGACCCUACGGGAGGCAGCAGUAGGGAAUCUUCCACAAUGGACGAAAGUCUGAUGGAGCAACGCCGCGUGCGGGAUGAAGGCUUUCGGGUUGUAAACAGCUUUCAGCAGGGAUGACUUCGACAGUACAUGCAGAAGAAGCCCCGGCUAACUACGUGCCAGCAGCAGCGGUAAUACGUAGGGGGCGAGCGUUAUCCGGAUUCAUUGGGCGUAAAGCGCGCGCAGGCGGACUCAUAAGCGGAGCCUUUAAUCUUGGGGCUUAACCUCAAGUCGGGCCCCGAACUGUGAGUCUCGAGUGUGGUAGGGG